Molecule: ribosomal RNA, 110 nt
Filed under: Psychoda grisescens
Lineage: Eukaryota; Metazoa; Arthropoda; Insecta; Diptera; Psychodidae
Description: partial 16S ribosomal RNA
Source: RNAcentral
UCAAACCGGCGUGAGCCAGGUUGGUUUCUAUCCUCAAUUAAUUAGAAUAUUUUAGUACGAAAGGAUUAAAUAUUCAAAAUAAUUUUUAUAUAUUUAUGAAUAAAAUUAAU